CAGUGCGUGAAACCGUUCAGAGGUAAACAGGUGGAGUUGAACUGCAAGCUCUGAGGAUUCAGCUGGUGAGUAUGGCAUGAGCUUGGUCAUAUUGGUUGUGUGCUCGGGUCUGCUUAGCUGCAGGUCCCCGCUUCGGUGGGGAUGCGCGAAUCACUCAUCAGGUGUUGUGCGCCCGGGUACUGACGGACCUGCUUGCCAGUGCACUUUCUCAGAGUGUUCACCACGACCGACGUUGCUGUCUGGCUGUUGCGGUUAAACCGGCUUGGUAGGGUCCUUGUGUCCUUGCUAGGUCGGGAUGGCAGGUAGCCCGUUGUGCGAUUUAUCGUGCUUCGGGUGUAAUAGCCGACUGCUUCGGUUCUGUGCGGUACGUCGGAGACGGCGGCUUGUUGUGCGUGCGGGCGUGCCUGUCGCGCCGGCGGCUCUGGGUCUGGUUGCCUUGUUGCUUGUGAAUGCAGGCCAGGUGAUGGCUCGGUGUCGUUCGGUCGGCAGCUGCGUUUGUUGCACUUUGAAAGGCCCCACAGUCUGUGGUGUAGCGGUAGACUAU
This 544-nucleotide ribosomal RNA is filed under the name Fasciola hepatica (liver fluke). RNAcentral describes it as "partial 28S ribosomal RNA". Lineage: Eukaryota; Metazoa; Platyhelminthes; Trematoda; Plagiorchiida; Fasciolidae. The record is from RNAcentral.